UGGCCCUUAGCUCAAUGGUUAGAGCAUCAGGCUUAUAUCCUGACGGUUGAGGGUUCAAGUCCCUCAGGGCCAA
Molecule: transfer RNA, 73 nt
Filed under: Candidatus Harrisonbacteria bacterium RIFCSPLOWO2_02_FULL_41_13b
Lineage: Bacteria; Candidatus Harrisoniibacteriota
Description: tRNA-Ile
Rfam family: tRNA
About the family: Transfer RNA (tRNA) molecules are approximately 80 nucleotides in length. Their secondary structure includes four short double-helical elements and three loops (D, anti-codon, and T loops).
Source: RNAcentral